RNAcentral lists this long non-coding RNA (228 nucleotides) under Mytilus galloprovincialis (Mediterranean mussel). The record is from RNAcentral. Lineage: Eukaryota; Metazoa; Mollusca; Bivalvia; Mytilida; Mytilidae.
GGAAAACUUAUUCAUUCCAUAUGCAUGUAUAAUACUAGCGAUCAAAACAAAACUACUAACUGGUUACCAUUACAAGAAAAAAAGUAAAACUUUCGACUGUCUAACAUUGCAUUAACCUUGUAGGGUAUAGCGGAGUUCACUGUUAUUGUGUACUAUAAAUUAAGCAAUCAUAUUUUCAAAGGAAGAAAAAAAUAAGUUGUGUUAUUUCUUACUCUUUAUGGCUAUAGC